UGUUAGCGGCGGAGGGUGAGUAACACGUGGGUAACCUGCCGGUAAGACUGGGAUAACUCCGGGAAACCGGGGCUAAUACCGGAGGGUUGUUUGAACCGCAGGGUUCAAACAUAAAAGGUGGCUUCGGCUACCACUUACAGAUGGACCCGCGGCGCAUUAGCUAGUUGGUGAGGUAACGGCUCACCAAGGCAACGAUGCGUAGCCAACCUGAGAGGGUGAUCGGCCACACUGGGACUGAGACACGGCCCAGACUCCUACGGGAGGCAGCAUUAGGGAAUCUUCCGCAAUGGACGAAAGUCUGACGGAGCAACGCCGCGUGAGUGAUGAAGGUUUUCGGAUCGUAAAGCUCUGUUGUUAGGGAAGAACAAGUACCGUUCAAAUAGGGCGGUACCUUGACGGUACCUAACCAGAAAGCCACGGCUAACUACGUGCCAGCAGCCGCGGUAAUACGUAGGUGGCAAGCGUUGUCCGGAAUUAUUGGGCGUAAAGGGCUCGCAGCGGUUUCUUAAGUCUGAUGUGAAAGCCCCCGGCUCAACCGGGGAGGGUCAUUGGAAACUGGGGAACUUGAGUGCAGAAGAGGAGAGUGGAAUUCCACGUGUAGCGGUGAAAUGCGUAGAGAUGU
This 622-nucleotide ribosomal RNA is filed under the name Bacillus subtilis. Its description in RNAcentral is "bacterial SSU rRNA". It matches the Rfam family "Bacterial small subunit ribosomal RNA", at positions 90 to 699 of the family's 1533-position model. Lineage: Bacteria; Bacillati; Bacillota; Bacilli; Caryophanales; Bacillaceae. The record is from RNAcentral.